This is a long non-coding RNA of Polypterus senegalus (gray bichir), 192 nucleotides long. RefSeq lists it as uncharacterized. The transcript has 3 exons. The record is from RefSeq and is a predicted model, not a curated record. NCBI's taxonomy places the organism in Eukaryota, Metazoa, Chordata, Cladistia, Polypteriformes, Polypteridae.
UGAGAGUCUCACAAGAUCAUCUUUCUUCAGUAGCAGACUAACAGUUGAAUCUGCCUAGACUUCUGGUCAAUUACUGAUCUGUUGGACUGCUCCUGCUCCUGUCCCAGUUUAAAGCUUCAUGAUUAUGUAAAAAAUCUUUUCUCCAAGUCUACUGUUGGCUUUUGACACCGCUGACCAUUGCCCUGAUACUCA